Non-coding RNA from Schistosoma margrebowiei, 45 nucleotides. NCBI's taxonomy places the organism in Eukaryota, Metazoa, Platyhelminthes, Trematoda, Strigeidida, Schistosomatidae. The record is from Rfam.
AUCUAAUCGAUGAGUCCCAAGUAGGACGAAACGCGCGUCCUGAAU